UUUUGGGGAACCUAAAAAAAUUUUGGGACCUCCAAAAAAAUUUUGGGGACCUCCAAAAAUUUUGGGACCUCCAAAAAAUUUUGGGGACCUCCUUGGUGGCCUCCAGAAGGUGUCGAGGCCAAAUUUUGGGUGACAAAAAGGAGGCCAAGGACUUCCAAAAAAUUUGGGGGACCUCCAAAAAAAUUUGGGGACCUCCAAAAAAUUUUGGGGAACCUAAAAAAAUUUUGGGGACCUCCAAAAAAUUUUGGGGACCUCCAAAAAGACCUCGGUGGCCUCCCCGGGCGAGCGGAGGCCCGAAAAGGAGGCCCCACGUUUUUGGGGUGAAAAACGCGGUU
This 335-nucleotide long non-coding RNA is filed under the name Anas platyrhynchos platyrhynchos (common mallard). RNAcentral's name for it is "lncRNA (ENSAPLG00000019875.1)". The record is from RNAcentral. Lineage: Eukaryota; Metazoa; Chordata; Aves; Anseriformes; Anatidae.